CUCUGUAGUUCAGUCGGUAGAACGGCGGACUGUUAAUCCGUAUGUCACUGGUUCGAGUCCAGUCAGAGCUU
RNAcentral lists this transfer RNA (71 nucleotides) under Klebsiella michiganensis. RNAcentral describes it as "tRNA-Asn". It matches the Rfam family "tRNA". From Rfam's summary of the family: Transfer RNA (tRNA) molecules are approximately 80 nucleotides in length. Their secondary structure includes four short double-helical elements and three loops (D, anti-codon, and T loops). Lineage: Bacteria; Pseudomonadati; Pseudomonadota; Gammaproteobacteria; Enterobacterales; Enterobacteriaceae. The record is from RNAcentral.